UGAUUCUAUGCUCACUUCCACAGCCAUAGGCAUUGCCACUCGUAAAAAUUUUGUUCAAAAUCUUCAAUUCUGUAUGUGAUUGAGCUGGAAGCCAUCACUUCCUAAAAUGCUUGCUUCAUGCCAUCAUAGUUCAUUGCUGUGAAAAUGACUGAAUCACACUGUAAACAGAGUUGAAGCAAUACCACCAGCAUGGACUGAGAAGCUGUGGACAUUGAGCUUGUAUUUUGAAGUGUGCAUGCGUAUUUUUAAGGCUUGUAAUUCAGAUGGUGGAGGUGUUGAGAAAAGAACAGUCUUACAGUGAAAUUAAAAAUAGUGGAGUCGUCUGUUUUUUUUGUCUUCUGUCCAAAUACAAGCCCUGAAGUGUUGUCUAGGUAUUUCUGUAUGGAGCCAGCUGUCCCCAAAAUGGAAAACUUGUCCAAAAAAUUAACCACAAUCUUGCUAUGACCUACAAAGUCUUCCUUAUAGUGAAAUGUUUGAGUAUUUUAGUAGUAAUCAUGGCAGACAUGCAAGUAAAGACUGCAGUUAGUCGAACAGUGCAAUUUGCUGCAUUUG
Pezoporus occidentalis (night parrot) is the source of this 552-nucleotide long non-coding RNA. RefSeq lists it as uncharacterized. The record is from RefSeq and is a predicted model, not a curated record. The transcript has 2 exons. Lineage: Eukaryota; Metazoa; Chordata; Aves; Psittaciformes; Psittacidae.